GCCUAACGGCUGAACUGGCAACUUGGAGAAGUGGCAAGUCUUCCAGUAUGGGGAGCAAAACAGCUAUGGGUCAAGUCCGAUAUCUUUAGGAGAAGUCUUAUUGUGAGGGCGAGUUAUAUAACACCAUAGGACUGGCCGUCCCAUAUGAAAAGAUUAUAUUAGAAUUGAAUGAAGCUUUGUUUAUAUAUUGAUAAUGACAGUAUAUAUAUCGUGUCUUGACUAAUUGCGUGCCAGCAGUCGCGGUAAUACGUAAGAGACUAGUGUUAUUCAUCUUAAUUAGGUUUAAAGGGUACCCAGACGGUCAAUAUAGCUUAUAAAAUGUUAGUACUUGACUAGAGUUUUAUGUAAGAGGGCAGUACUUGAGGAGGAGAGAUGAAAUUUCGUGAUACCAAAGGGACUCUGUAAAGGCGAAGGCAGCCCUCUAUGUAAAAACUGACGUUGAAGGACGAAGGCACAGAGAACAAACAGGAUUAGAUACCCAAGUAGUCUUUGCAGUAAAUGAUGAAUGCCAUAGGUUAGAUUAAUCAAUUAUAGUCUAGGGUUAGUCUAGCAAACUAAUGACAGACUAUAAUUAAAAAUAUCUGGUCUAUAAAUGAAAGUGUAAGCAUUUCACCUCAAGAGUAAUGUGGCAACGCAGGAACUGAAAUCACUAGACCGUUUCUGACACCAGUAGU
Molecule: ribosomal RNA, 674 nt
Filed under: Fusarium foetens
Lineage: Eukaryota; Fungi; Ascomycota; Sordariomycetes; Hypocreales; Nectriaceae
Description: SSU rRNA
Rfam family: Bacterial small subunit ribosomal RNA
Source: RNAcentral